AUCAUUAUGCUGUACUUCUCUUUCCUAGAUCCAAGAAAGUGAGCCACAANUCAAGCCGUGUUUAAAAUUAGCACCCUUUGGCAGCAGGAAUGUUCCUUUUUCUUACUGCAUGUUCUCGAAUACUUUCAGAAGGUGUGUUCUUCUCAGAAUAGUGUGCUAGCAGGGCUGUAGCAAAACAAACAGAGGCGUUCCGAACUGAUGUUCUCAACAACUCCCGGUGGUCACAAAUGUCUUAUCAAAGUCAGAAUGCUCCGGCAGUUCUUGGAUUACCAAAGCGCUAUGCACCAUAAUAAAAACAAUUAAACAGUAGAUUAGCCGAGUCAAACAAGCAAGAAAGAAAAUGAAAGGUAUUUUAGCUGGAUGUCACUGUGGCCUUGGCUUCCUGUUUUAUACGCAACAGAAAGUCUGCAGCAGAUUAAGGCAGAUUAGAUGAGUUUUCAGGAGGCAGAGUAACCUUUGGCCAGGCUCAGGCAGGCUGCUGACAAGGGUUUCAGUGGCUUGGUUAACGAACUUUUCUGUGACGCCUCGCUGACUUCCUGCUCCUGACCACGGAGGGCUCGGUGAGCACAGCAGCAGGAAGCACUGACCUCCUGGAGGCGGCUCGCUGCUGCCAGAGUCACGGGCCUGCUGCAGGAGUUACAAGAGCACAGCUUUGAAUUUUAUUGGGAAAACCCCACAAAGGAUACUCACCACAGAAUGUGAAAACAAAGAAAAUAGCCUUGACCGUGUGUGUGUGAGCAUAAUCAUCAUCCAGAGACCAUGCUGAUAAACAGUGCGAAACAAGGCACCUUAUCUCAGAUGCCAUGGUCUCCAGAGGACAACCAGAGGAACCUGAAUGAAAAGCACAGGGCUCAAGAUGGGCUGCGAUCUGUGCCUGGCUC
Molecule: long non-coding RNA, 881 nt
Filed under: Pavo cristatus (Indian peafowl)
Lineage: Eukaryota; Metazoa; Chordata; Aves; Galliformes; Phasianidae
Description: lncRNA (ENSPSTG00000006364.1)
Source: RNAcentral